Molecule: ribosomal RNA, 301 nt
Filed under: uncultured bacterium
Lineage: Bacteria
Description: partial 16S ribosomal RNA
Rfam family: Bacterial small subunit ribosomal RNA
Source: RNAcentral
CAGCCGCCGCGGUAAUACGAAGGGGGCUAGCGUUGUUCGGAAUUACUGGGCGUAAAGCGCACGUAGGCGGAUAUUUAAGUCAGGGGUGAAAUCCCAGAGCUCAACUCUGGAACUGCCUUUGAUACUGGGUAUCUUGAGUAUGGAAGAGGUGAGUGGAAUUCCGAGUGUAGAGGUGAAAUUCGUAGAUAUUCGGAGGAACACCAGUGGCGAAGGCGGCUCACUGGUCCAUUACUGACGCUGAGAUGCGAAAGCGUGGGGAGCAAACAGGAUUAGAUACCCCUGUAGUCCCUGUCUCUUAUAC